This 333-nucleotide ribosomal RNA is filed under the name uncultured bacterium. RNAcentral's name for it is "bacterial SSU rRNA". It matches the Rfam family "Bacterial small subunit ribosomal RNA", at positions 29 to 392 of the family's 1533-position model. The record is from RNAcentral.
AAUGAACGCUAGUAGUAUGCUUAACACAUGCAAGUCGAACGAAAGUUUUACACUUUCGUGGCGUACGGGUGAGUAAAUGCAGAAUUCUUCCUUCCAGUUCAGUACAAAAUUGCUUCUAGUAAUAAAUUCUGAAUAUUUUUAAAGGUUUAUUUACCGCUGAAAGAUGAAUCUGCUUAAGAUUAGGUUGUUGGUAAUUUAAAAGCUUACCAAGCCGAUGAUCUUUAGUUGGUCUGAGAGGAUGAUCAACCACACUGGAACUGAAACAAGGUCCAGGCUAAUUCGUUGGCCAGCAGUGAGGAAUAUUGGAGUCAAUGAACGAAAGUUUGAUCCAGC